GGGCAUCUCACCAAGCUGUUGCACCUCAUAGCAUCUCAGCAUCUCGCCUCCUCCGCACACCUUCGCUGAAACUUGAGAGGACUCGCUACUCCUAGAUCAUCUAAGUUACAUGCACGACUCAAAACAAAUAUGCAGAUACAAAAUAUCAAGAUUAGUGCUAACAUUCACCCCCUAAUCUUGAUAUCAUCUUCUUCGAUGCGGAUCACCCGCAGCACCUUGCCGUGGACGACACCAUCGCAGCGCCGAUCACCACGCACCAUAUUGUCGUAGACGACGCCGUCGCAGCGCCAGUCACCAUCAUCAUCUUCUUGCGGCAUCGCACCGCAACCGGCCACUCGCCGCCACCGACGCCGUCGCAGCGCUGGUUACCAUGGACCAUCUUGUCGUGGAUGACGUCCUCGCGACGCCGAUCCUCAUGACGGCUUCGCGCCGCCGUACCUCCCAACGGCGUCACACCGUCGUCUUCUUGUGGCAGCUUCACACCGCCAUCUCCAUCUUGCGGCAUCGCACCGCAACCGGUCGCCCACGGCAUCGCACCGUCUCCGGCCUCCACCUCGCACCGCCGUCCCCCACCUCACAUGGAGUCCGCCACGGUGCCACCACCGCCUCGGAUCGACAAGGCUCUGAUACCAAUUGUUGGCGCCGCCUCCUCGCAGUGCCACUUCUUCUUCUACCUUGAGCUGGCUCUCACAGCUCUCUUGUGGUUUCUCUCUAUCUUCUUCUCUUGUACCUUCUCUCAAGAACACACACACACACGCAUGGACCAAGGAGGAGCACGAAAGCUUUGCCCAGGGUCUCUUCUCCUUGGCGAACACACAUGCUACAUAUUUUCUGCUGGACCUCUCGGCUCCUCUUUCAUUAACUCAGUACAUAUAUACACAAGGACCCAUGCACAGCCCAGCCACCAUGCUCGGCCACUAACCAUGAUCUCACGCAAUAGUCCACUAACCACUAACUCCACGCACGCACUACACCGGCCAUCACACUUGACUCAGCCAACACUUGCACAUGCACUAACUAACUGAUGCAUGAACCUUGCUACUAACGACUAACCUGGUCUUCCUCUCCUAGAAUCACUCUAGGCAUACGAUCCGGCCAAAGCAUGCAUGCAAACAUAGAUAGCUGACCGAAUCACUCGGUUGGUCCUCAUGCAUCUCCUUUCGCUCCAGCUUCCGCAUGCAGCACCACAUCACACGGUUACGGGCAUCUCACCAAGCUGUUGCACCUCAUAGCAUCUCAGCAUCUCGCCUCCUCCGCACACCUUCGUUGAAACUUGAGAGGACUCGCUACUCCUAGAUCAUCUAAGUUACAUGCACGACUCAAAACAAAUAUGCAGAUACAAAAUAUCAAGAUUAGUGCUAACAUUCACCCCCUAAUCUUGAUAUCAUCUUCUUCGAUGCGGAUCACCCGCAGCACCUUGCCGUGGACGACACCAUCGCAGCGCCGAUCACCACGCACCAUAUUGUCGUAGACGACGCCGUGGCAGCGCCAGUCACCAUCAUCAUCUUCUUGCGGCAUCGCACCGCAACCGGCCACUCGCCGCCACCGACGCCGUCGCAGCGCUGGUUACCAUGGACCAUCUUGUCGUGGAUGACGUCCUCGCGACGCCGAUCCUCAUGACGGCUUCGCGCCGCCGUACCUCCCAACGGCGUCACACCGUCGUCUUCUUGUGGCAGCUUCACACCGCCAUCUCCAUCUUGCGGCAUCGCACCGCAACCGGUCGCCCACGGCAUCGCACCGUCUCCGGCCUCCACCUCGCACCACCGUCCCCCACCUCACAUGGAGUCCGCCACGGUGCCACCACCGUCUCGGAUCGACAAGGCUCUGAUACCAAUUGUUGGCGCCGCCUCCUCGCAGUGCCACUUCUUCUUCUACCUUGAGCUGGCUCUCACAGCUCUCUUGUGGUUUCUCUCUAUCUUCUUCUCUUGUACCUUCUCUCAAGAACACACACACACACGCAUGGAUCAAGGAGGAGCACGAAAGCUUUGCCCAGGGUCUCUUCUCCUUGGCGAACACACAUGCUACAUAUUUUCUGCUGGACCU
Molecule: long non-coding RNA, 2043 nt
Filed under: Triticum aestivum (bread wheat)
Lineage: Eukaryota; Viridiplantae; Streptophyta; Magnoliopsida; Poales; Poaceae
Description: long non-coding RNA (TAES_LNC017068)
Source: RNAcentral